UAUCUCUGUAGAGUCUGCAUAUCAAUAAGCGGAGGAAAAGAAACUAACAAGGAUUCCCUUAGUAACGGCGAGUGAAGCGGGAAGAGCUCAAAUUUGAAAUCUUCAAGGUUCUACCUUGACGAAUUGUAGUUUAAAGAAGUGUUUUCUGUUGGAGUUUUGGUAAAAGUUCUUUGGAAUAGGACAUCAUAGAGGGUGAGAAUCCCGUAUUUGACCAUUAUUUCAGCUGUGUGAUACACUUUCAAAGAGUCGGAUUGUUUGGGAAUGCAGUCCAAAAUGGGUGGUAAAUUUCAUCUAAAGCUAAAUAUUGGCGAGAGACCGAUAGCGAACAAGUACCGUGAGGGAAAGAUGAAAAGAACUUUGAAAAGAGAGUUAAACAGUACGCUGAAAUUGUCAAAAGGGAAGCGUUUGACACCAGUGUUGUUUUCUCGAAAAUCAAUUACGAAUGGCUUGAUUCUGUGUUGUAUUGACCUUAUCAGCUUUCUUCACUUUUUUCGUGUCUUUCUUAAUGCACUUUUCGGUUAACAAGUCAACAUCAAUUUCUUUUGUUGUAAAAGAGUCAUUGGAAGGUGGCUUUCACUUCGGUGAAAGUGUUUAUAGCCUUUGGCUUCUGCAAUCGGAGAGAUUGAGGUCUGCAGCGUAGUUCCUUCGGGGCUAGAUACGUAGAUGCUAAGUUAUAGUUUUUUAUAGACAACUUGUUGACUAUAAUUAAUCAUGUAGCUUACUCGUUUGCGCUAUUUUACCUACGCUUAAGGAUGUUGAUAGUCACAGCGUGUAC
Molecule: ribosomal RNA, 775 nt
Filed under: uncultured Neocallimastigales
Lineage: Eukaryota; Fungi; Neocallimastigomycota; Neocallimastigomycetes; Neocallimastigales
Description: partial large subunit ribosomal RNA
Rfam family: Eukaryotic large subunit ribosomal RNA
Source: RNAcentral